RNAcentral lists this unclassified non-coding RNA (271 nucleotides) under uncultured fungus. RNAcentral's name for it is "partial contains small subunit ribosomal RNA, internal transcribed spacer 1, and 5.8S ribosomal RNA". The stretch from base 1 to 73 matches the Rfam family "Eukaryotic small subunit ribosomal RNA", at positions 1759 to 1831 of the family's 1831-position model. The record is from RNAcentral. Lineage: Eukaryota; Fungi.
ACAAACUUGGUCAUUUAGAGGAAGUAAAAGUCGUAACAAGGUUUCCGUAGGUGAACCUGCGGAAGGAUCAUUACAAAUCGAUGGAGGAGAGGGGGAGAGGUUGGGGUGGGAGGUUGAUGAUCUGGACUGAGAUACCGGAUUCUCUACCCCCACCACACUCUACACCAGAUCCACAUUUGCGCUUGUUGUGUUUGACAGAGUAAUAUACCCAAAUUAAAUGACAACUUUUAACAAUGGAUCUCUUGGCUCUUGCAUCGAUGAAGAACGCAGC